CUAAAACUAAAAAUUGUCUUCAUUGUAUUGAUAUAAUCGCCGACCACUGUAUUAGAAAAUCGUUAUCAUUAACUCUUGAUUUGGUAGGCUUGCAAUUUUUAAGAAAAUUAUUAUUUCAAUCGAUUGAUCAAUUAAGCUUGAGAGGAUAAGUUCUCUGCUUUUGUUAAGAUACCUGGGGAGUAAUUAGGACUACUUUGAAGCAACCCAAUUGUCAAAACCUAAGGGAUGAUUAUUUUCACUUUUAUUUUUUGCCGCCUGGUGUGAUUUUAGAAUUUAAAUAGAUGUGGCACUGAAACUGGAUGUAUGAGUGUGGUUGAGGACUGGACAACAAGCAGUUCGUGGACUAAGCAAUCAUAAGGCAUGAACCGGCCUAACCUUGUAAGGGAUGUCUAAGUUUGGUCCCUGUAUAGUGAAAUGUAGACCAGAGAAAUUUUGGCGCAGAGGUUUGAUCCAUAUUCCAUAGCUCCGUAAACAUGCAACUUUCAGUUUUGGCAUCUGCAGACGAAACAUAGCCUGAAAGUUGCAGAUGGACCAGUUCUGUCUUAUCUGCUACGCUGUGAGUUAGAAGAGCUGGAAAGGGGUCAGUUUCUUAUGGCAGGGUUCAGUGCGGCUGUUUUUUUCCUGGUUAAACUGAAACAAGUGGUGUAGAGCGGAAGAACUUCCUCUCCAUAAGCCAAAGGAAUUGAAGGAGUCGAGCUCAGUUAAAACCCAAGUCAGGAUUGGUUCUGGUUCGACCAAUGAGAGACUGCUUAGAAAGCUUUCUCUCUGCAGCAGACAGAUCAGCUGGGACAUACAAGGAGAUGUAAAUUUCGAAAAUUCAAACUUUAUGUAGAUACAUUAUUUUCAUAUUAUGUUUAGUUCAUGCCUUUGAUCAAAUUGGACACUACAAAUAAUUCCCAAGAAUUUUAAUGUAUAAACAUAAUAGUUUUUACGAAAUUUACGAUCAUCAGCUUUUGGAGACCCAAGCCUUAAAGAGCGAAGAACCCAAGGCAAUUGGUUUUUACUUAACCCAAUGCAAUACAAAACCCGAGUCUUGACUUGAGCUUUACUUGGGUCUAAGUAGACGCUAAGACCGGGUUAUAAUCUUAAAGCAAUACUUUUUUUUGAAAAAUCGAUAAAAUUUAAA
Molecule: long non-coding RNA, 1126 nt
Organism: Eurytemora carolleeae
Lineage: Eukaryota; Metazoa; Arthropoda; Copepoda; Calanoida; Temoridae
Exons: 2
Source: RefSeq, a predicted model, not a curated record